This 200-nucleotide ribosomal RNA is filed under the name uncultured bacterium. Its description in RNAcentral is "partial 16S ribosomal RNA". It matches the Rfam family "Bacterial small subunit ribosomal RNA", at positions 1300 to 1500 of the family's 1533-position model. The record is from RNAcentral.
GUAGUCUGCAACUCGACUACAUGAAGCUGGAAUCGCUAGUAAUCGCGAAUCAGAAUGUCGCGGUGAAUACGUUCCCGGGUCUUGUACACACCGCCGUCACACCAUGGGAGUCAGCAACGCCCGAAGCCGGUGACCCAACCGAAAGGAGGGAGCCGUCGAAGGUGGGGCCGAUAACUGGGGUGAAGUCGUAACAAGGUAAC